Molecule: long non-coding RNA, 812 nt
Organism: Cephus cinctus (wheat stem sawfly)
Lineage: Eukaryota; Metazoa; Arthropoda; Insecta; Hymenoptera; Cephidae
Exons: 2
Source: RefSeq, a predicted model, not a curated record
UCUUAUCUCGCUCCUCCAGAAUAAUCUGGUCUUCGUGCUGUAAGUGAGCCAAAUGUUAAUAGUAGUGACAUCCAUAGGAUAAUAGCGGAAGCUAGUCCUGCUAGAGUUUAUAUUUCUUAAAAUUUGUCCUGUUGCUACCUGGUGUCGUCCCUUUCUGUCUCGAACUUCCAAUACGAGCGGACGUCACCAAGCAGCACAGCAAGUCACACCAAAGGGUGUCGUACAAAGAUAGAAAGGGCUUUUAUUUAAAUCACUAUAUGGAAUUAUUGACGGGACUGGUACAUAGAAGUAAAAGGAAUAACGGAGAUAUUUGGCAAUCGAUGUGAUCGCAUACAUCCCUGAUAAUUUGAACAUCAACCAGUAAAAAGGAAUAUCGCAAACAAUUCCUCCAUAAUUUUAUCAACGGCUACGAAGUACAUCAUGUUUUCGGAACAACGUACAGCUAAGCGAUAUUAUUUAUUUUAGUUUGGUUUCUGUAAUUUGUAAUGUAAGUGUGGGUCAUGAGUGUUAUGGAAUGGGUCAUGAAUGUUAUAUCUUAAAGUCGUCUUAUUUAAUCAAAUAUGUUCUUUUUGAAUUCAUUUGUGAUUGUGUGUUCAUUUAUAUUUUUUGAAUUGUGUUAAUUUGGACAUAAAUUAAUUCAACUAAUAACUUUUUUAUUUUUUGUAUUUAAAGACAAUAAUUUCUUUGGAUGUUCUUCUCUCAAUUAAUAAAUAUAAAUACAUAAGGAAUUAUUAUAGUGCAUACGCUUUACGCAUCUUCAUCGCCCCUUAUUCCCUCAGUCCUUACCAUCUCUGUUUUUCACUCUUUCUUUU